UAGGAAAGGCAAAUUGCAGGUUUGUGCGUGCAUCUAAUCUAAUGAAAGAUUUUGAAGGACUUUCAUUUUUUCCCUCUAUUCCAUUUCCGUGUUAGAUUCACGCACAAACUUGUCAUUUGCCUUUACUA
This 128-nucleotide non-coding RNA is filed under the name Ammopiptanthus mongolicus. Lineage: Eukaryota; Viridiplantae; Streptophyta; Magnoliopsida; Fabales; Fabaceae. The record is from RNAcentral.